AAAGAAAAAAGCCGCUUUAGUUUGUUUACAACCGUGGAAUGUUUCACUUCACGACCGCGUUUUCAAAAUUCCGAUUUCGGCAUUCGAAACUUCUUUUCCAUUUUUGUUCUUGUUUCGCUCAAAAUUCGUUGCUUUUUGAAUCAAUUGGAAAUGGACGGAAUGAAUCUUUACAACCAGGCGUAUUACGAAGCCUUGUUAAACAACGAACGUGAAACCGAAAGGUGGAAAUCCUACAGAGCGGAACACGAAGAGCUCAAAGACAAUUUGAAAAUGUACAGCAAAGAGCUGAAAGUCGAUAUCUUGAUUCCGGUGGGGUCGAAAGCUCUCAUUCCGGGCCAGCUUUAUCACACCGGGGAAGUAAUGGCAAGCCACGGAUCAGGUUACUUUUCCGACUGUUCGAUAGAGCAAGCCAACCGGAUCAUUGACCACCGGAUUUCAACCGCAAACGAGGUUCUGCGGAAGUACGAGAAGGAAAGGGACAUGUUCACCAGUAAGGUGGAGAUUCCCUUCGCGGAAGAUGCUUUCAGUGGCCAAGAAAUCAUUGAAGAGUACGAUGAAGCCCAAGAGGAAGUUUGGCGCAAGGAACACCGGAUACGAUCCCGAGAAUCUAAACUGCGAGAAGCUCAAGAACGGAACAAAAGCGUGGUUUCGGAAACGGAUCAAUCGUUAAUGGAUCGCUUGGAAGAGCUAGAACUGAUGGAGGAAUUGGAACAAGAAAUGGAUAGUCUGGAGAUUCCGGUUAAAACAGAUGAACAGUUGCGGAAGUUGAUGAGUGGGGAGAUAAAGUUACCCACAAAGCCAAGAGUUGCCCAUGGAAAAAAGACAAAUGGUAUAGAUAAGUUACCUCACGAGGAAUCGGAAAAAUCUGUGGUAGAAUUCGAAAACGAACAAGUCGAAAUUGAAACCACUGAUGAUGAGGAGGAAAGUUCGGAUGAGUCUGAAGAGGAAGAUUCUUCUGUGGAAUUCGUGAAACUUUUACAAGACACAAAGGCCAUGAAUAAAAAGGACAAAGUGCAAGCGUUCAAGAAUAAACUCAAUGAAAUCAGUACAAGACUUCAGAAGGAAGGCAUUAGCAUCGAUGAAAAGGUUAGCCUUUGUGAUUUGCGAUACGAAGUGGAAGAGGCUCUUGAUUUCCUCCAUCCUUCCUGGGAGAACUCAACCGUUGAUACAAAAGAAGGCUCAGUUUCUAAGAAAACAAAGUCUAUUAAGUUUGCUGACAGUGACAGUGUGAAGAUUAUAGAUGAUAACGUCGAAAUGGAAGAAAGUAGUGUGACCUCCAAUGAUGAUUCCCGCAAAACAUUACAACUCAAAAUUGUUCACUCGCCGGAUGGUGGUUCUCCAGCUCCCAAAGAUGAUGAUCAAGAGUCUAUUGGCAGUCCGGCAGAUAUCUAUCGUUUGUUCGAACAUUGCCUGCGAAAAGAACUUCCUCUAUCGUCGCCGGUGGGGAAGAAAUCGAUUCUCAAAAAUCGCGAAAUGGUUUUGGCGGAAACUCAUAUGACGGAAUCUCAACCGGCAAUUGUUAGGAAACCUCGCGAAAAGCCAGAGAUUGCACCGGUAGAUAUAAUGGGUGACGUAGUGGAACACAAACCCGAAACUAGUUCACAAACUACUGUGACCCAACCAUCGACAAUCGUUGGCCAAAAGAAGGUUAGUCGCUUUAGGCAGCAGAGACAGUAAAUCUUCCACAUCUAAGCUUCUUCCAAGAGUGCUUCUUUGAAACCUAAAAUGAUAGAUGCCAUUCGAUUUUGCGAGGUUUCAGUGUGGCCAAUCAUGUAGUCCCAGCCUGUGAACAGUUUCCAUGCAAACACAUAUUCAUCAUCUUUUGAUGACAGCUUCGACAUCCAACACGAUACACUGAAACAAACUGGUAUAUGUCGCGGAUGUAGGAAGAAUACGAGCACACAAUACUGAUUUUAACGCGUUGGUUUACGGUAAAUAUUGCACUUGUUUGUCACUUUGCUUUCUAGUACAUCAAAACUCAUGGGUCAACACCCAUCUAGCCCGAUACACACCAAACAACUGACUGACUGUCUGGAUAUCUUUGAAUGGAAUCGACAAUGUUCUCAGUAUUUGUGUUUGUGGUGCUUGCUGCUGUGUAUUCAUUCAAUAUCAUGAUUAGAUCGCACUUUUAAUGCCAUCGGUUAAAGUAUGUUUCUUCGAGCAUUCGUUAAAAGGGUAUACAAGAUAUGGCACUUCAAAAUAGUUGAAUAUUAUUCGAUUUAUCCUCUCUA
Molecule: RNA transcript, 2231 nt
Organism: Aedes aegypti (yellow fever mosquito)
Lineage: Eukaryota; Metazoa; Arthropoda; Insecta; Diptera; Culicidae
Gene: uri
Gene name: golgin subfamily A member 6-like protein 22
Exons: 6
Source: RefSeq, a predicted model, not a curated record